UACGGGGGGAGCAAGCGUUGUUCGGAUUUAUUGGGCGUAAAGAGCUCGUAGGCGGCUUGUUGCGUCGACUGUGAAAACCCGCGGCUUAACCGCGGGCUUGCAGUUGAUACGGGCAGGCUAGAGUUCGGUAGGGGAGACUGGAAUUCCUGGUGUAGCGGUGAAAUGCGCAGAUAUCUGGAGGAACACCGGUGGCGAAGGCGGCAUCCUGGACCAACACUGACACUGAGGAGCGAAAGCCAGGGGAGCAAACGGG
Molecule: ribosomal RNA, 253 nt
Filed under: uncultured bacterium
Lineage: Bacteria
Description: partial 16S ribosomal RNA
Rfam family: Bacterial small subunit ribosomal RNA
Source: RNAcentral